Molecule: non-coding RNA, 2609 nt
Organism: Myodes glareolus (Bank vole)
Lineage: Eukaryota; Metazoa; Chordata; Mammalia; Rodentia; Cricetidae
Source: RefSeq, a predicted model, not a curated record
CUUCCGCCGAAGCGACAACUUUUGCAGCGUCGCCGCCUCCAGUCCUGUGGAUGUGCCCAGUCCGGCACCACCACCCGCUGCCGCCAUCAGCGCAGCCUGGAAAAAAAAGCAUCUUGUGGUGGUGCCAUUCUCCUCCUGAUAAGGUAGAGGAAAUAUCAUGGAGGGCUCUCAGUGACGCCAAUUCAUCACCAGCAUCCAGACAGAUAGGUUCAAGGUGGUACGUCUCCACCCUGGGAACAUCGUGUUCCUCAGCCACAUGGCAGAGGACAACUUUGGAAACUACUGGAACAAAGAGAAUUUUUUAAGUCUCUGUCCCAAAAUGUUAUCCUGUACCAGAGAAAAAUUUACAUCCUUGGGCGAAUAGGACAUCAGCAAAAGAUCCGCUCCAUCGGGAAGCCUGCACAUCACCUCAUCCUCCCUCCCUUUCCCUUAAAGAGGAGAUGCAGUGAGCUGACUCUCCCAGGGUUCAUGGCAUCAGCAAAAGGCAACAAAGUGCAGGAGGUAAAUGAGAAAGGUAGCAAGGGCUUCUCUAGGUCCAGCUCACCGGACCUUAUACAUCAGAUAUGAACUCACCUGUGAAUUCUGCCCCACGGGGUGAUUGUUGAAGGCAUUAAGCAAGUCUGAGGAGACAAAAAAUGCGGCCCCAUUUGGUGACACAAGUAAGGGGACACAUGUGGAGGCUGAGAUGGACAAGACUGGCAGCACCUUCACUUUUAUUCUCAAGACUCCGGAGGUCUUAGGGUUCUCGGAGGACACCGACUACCAGAGGACCAGAGGAUGUCACUGACAUUAGAGAGAACAACACCACCAGUGCAGACAUUAUCAGCCAGAUGGCGCAGGAUCACAUAUAUGAUGUGUCCCCUCCCCAUCAUGGAAACAACCAACAUGAAAUUGUCAAAGACAUGCUUCAGCAUCUGCAAAUGAGCAGCCCCAGGAGGCACCCCGACUCCAAGAAGCACAGCAGAAGGGACUGGAAGGAACAAGGAGGCAGAUUAGGAACCUGUUUAGAAGGUUUUGUUGCUGUUUCCCCACCCCCAGGACAAAAGACACAACAUCCAGGGUUAAAGAUGAGGCCCAGGCCCAUGGUUCCUAAACCAUUGAUCUGUGUUCGGCCUGGUGUGACUUAACAGCCCCGGAAGAGCUAGGCCAGAACUUGAAAGGAAGUGUACCCCAAACCUGUUGUUCCCUGCCAGACACCUCCAGCAACCAGGUCGCCUUCUCUGUACCCUCCUCUCCUGCAGAGUAUGAGCAACCAUCUCCCCACUGUUUGAAGAGCAUUGUUCCUCUAGCACUAGUGACUGGACAGAGAAGCCAGCUAUAUAACCACCUUGUUAUUAAGAGGCAGCCAUCCCUCCUCUGUGGUCCAUGUGACAGAACCUCCUUCCUUCAGACCCCAAGGUGCUGUUCUCCCAUGCAAGGAUUAUUCAAACAGAUAAAUCCCGUGGGGGAUUCCUUGACUUGGAGUGAGAGUCUACGAUCGUUCUGUCUACUGUGAAUAGGGAAGUAGUGCUUGACAGCGCUGUGGAGCAUCACUGCCCAGGCAAGCCCGGCAUCCUUGGCACUUCUCUGAUCCCGGUGUCCACCUUCAGGGUCAAGAAUAGAAGGACACCUAAUUGCCACAGAGCUGCAAAAACCAACAUGUGGUAGUGUGUGCGCAGCCCUACUGAGUGAGGUAUCUGCAGUGUCCCCCUGGCACCUUUCAGGUAGGGGGCAGCUUUCUGGGUCAGCAGGAAGUGCUGGUAACAGGAAUGUAAGUGCCUGAUUUUUGGAGACCACUCAGAUGAAGUGGUUUGACGUCACUAAGUAUCUCUUUGUGGUGCAAGAUAAGAUUCUGCUAUCUGAUCUGCCAUAACACGGCAAUGAAAUUGAUCUUUUUUUCCUCUGCAGAGGCUCCUAGUCUUGGUCACUGGGAAUGUGGACCUCUGUGCAAGCUCAGCAAUUUCUCUGGAAAAGAGUUCCUGAACCAUACCUGUAGCCAAGACCAAGCUGCUAUGACAGUCUACACUGCUCCACCUUGUGGCGACGAUGACGCAGUGGGUCCUCAUAAUGAGAACUUGGCUCUUGUGUUAUUGUAGCCCUGAAGCCUUUCCCAGCUGUUCUAGGGCCUAGGAGACAGGAACAAGCAGGUGUUCUAGGAAACAUCCUCAACGUUUUCCAGCCUUGUCCCUCAUGAUCAUCUUAGGAAGAUAUGAGAAGAGACUAUUGGGAUCCAUUUCUUUCCCUCAGAAACUUUUUGGAGGAAGCUGCAUUCACACUGGCCCCAGGUUUGGCUCCCUGAACCCAUGUUGGAUGUCUCAUGACCACCACACAAGGUCAGAACAGAUGUGUCUGCUGAAGAGCAUGAUGGAGUGUCUGGAAUCUGAAGAGCAGCAGGAUGAAUUCUUCUCGACUGGCUGGCUGGGAGGGACCCAGCCCAGCAGUCCUUGGCUUCUUAUAGGAGGCUUGACCACAACACCUCAGUGCUGUGGACCCCGUGCAUGUGCAUCCGCCCUGGCAUUCAAAUGCAGGUCACUGGAAGAAACUUUAACAGUGUAACUAUCUCUGUAAUUUAAACGAGAUUUCUACAGGCCUGGUGUGGAAAUUAUUUUAUUAAAUGCUCACUGGAUUAA